RNAcentral lists this ribosomal RNA (246 nucleotides) under uncultured Gammaproteobacteria bacterium. RNAcentral's name for it is "partial 16S ribosomal RNA". It matches the Rfam family "Bacterial small subunit ribosomal RNA", at positions 796 to 1041 of the family's 1533-position model. Lineage: Bacteria; Pseudomonadati; Pseudomonadota; Gammaproteobacteria. The record is from RNAcentral.
CACGCUGUAAACGAUGUCUACUGGCCGUUGGCCUCCUUGAGGGGUUAGUGGCGCAGCUAACGCGAUAAGUAGACCGCCUGGGGAGUACGGCCGCAAGGUUAAAACUCAAAUGAAUUGACGGGGGCCCGCACAAGCGGUGGAGCAUGUGGUUUAAUUCGACGCAACGCGAAGAACCUUACCUACUCUUGACAUCCUGCGAAGCCUGUAGAGAUAUGGGUGUGCCUUCGGGAGCGCAGAGACAGGUGC